Molecule: ribosomal RNA, 508 nt
Filed under: uncultured bacterium
Lineage: Bacteria
Description: partial 16S ribosomal RNA
Rfam family: Bacterial small subunit ribosomal RNA
Source: RNAcentral
GACGAACGCUGGCGGCGUGCCUAAUACAUGCAAGUCGAACGCUUCUUUCCUCCCGAGUGCUUGCACUCAAUUGGAAAGAGGAGUGGCGGACGGGUGAGUAACACGUGGGUAACCUACCCAUCAGAGGGGGAUAACACUUGGAAACAGGUGCUAAUACCGCAUAACAGUUUAUGCCGCAUGGCAUAAGAGUGAAAGGCGCUUUCGGGUGUCGUUGAUGGAUGGACCCGCGGCGCAUUAGCUAGUUGGUGAGGUAACGGCUCACCAAGGCCACGAUGCAUAGACGACCUGAGAGGGUGAUAGGCCACACUGGGACUGAGACACGGCCCAGACCCCUACGGGAGGCAGCAGUAGGGAAUCUUCGGCAAUGGACGAAAGUCUGACCGAGCAACGCCGCGUGAGUGAAGAAGGUUUUCGGAUCGUAAAACUCUGUUGUUAGAGAAGAACAAGGACGUUAGUAACUGAACGUCCCCUGACGGUAUCUAACCAGAAAGCCACGGCUAACUACGUG